UACGGAGGGUGCAAGCGUUGUUCGGAAUUACUGGGCGUAAAGCGUGCGUAGGCGGUUCGUUAAGUUCGUUGUGAAAGCCCCGGGCUCAACCUGGGAAUGGCAAUGGAAACUGGCGGGCUGGAGUAUGGCAGAGGGGGGUGGAAUUCCGCGUGUAGCAGUGAAAUGCGUAGAGAUGCGGAGGAACACCGAUGGCGAAGGCAGCCCCCUGGGCCAAUACUGACGCUCAGGCACGAAAGCGUGGGGAGCAAACAGG
Molecule: ribosomal RNA, 253 nt
Filed under: uncultured bacterium
Lineage: Bacteria
Description: partial 16S ribosomal RNA
Rfam family: Bacterial small subunit ribosomal RNA
Source: RNAcentral